UACAAGAUGGUUGAGACUAAACAAUAAACUGUAAAUUUAUAUACGGGGAGCACCCUCUUGUGU
This 63-nucleotide transfer RNA is filed under the name Megascolecidae sp. BS2. RNAcentral describes it as "tRNA-Tyr". The record is from RNAcentral. RNAcentral also lists the same sequence under 1 other name. Lineage: Eukaryota; Metazoa; Annelida; Clitellata; Crassiclitellata; Megascolecidae.